This 253-nucleotide ribosomal RNA is filed under the name uncultured bacterium. RNAcentral describes it as "partial 16S ribosomal RNA". It matches the Rfam family "Bacterial small subunit ribosomal RNA", at positions 524 to 776 of the family's 1533-position model. The record is from RNAcentral.
UACGGAGGGUGCAAGCGUUAUCCGGAUUCACUGGGUUUAAAGGGUGCGUAGGUGGGCAGGUAAGUCAGGGGUGAAAGACGGUAGCUCAACUAUCGCAGUGCCCUUGAUACUGAUGGGCUUGAAUGAACUAGAGGUAGGCGGAAUGUGACAAGUAGCGGUGAAAUGCAUAGAUAUGUCACAGAACACCAAUUGCGAAGGCAGCUUACUAUGGUUUUAUUGACACUGAGGCACGAAAGCGUGGGGAUCAAACAGG